GACGAACGCUGGCGGCGUGCUUAACACAUGCAAGUCGAACGGGUCUGCCCUGUUUUUUGCGGGGUGGGUCAGUGGCGAACGGGUGAGUAACACGUGAGUAACCUGCCCCUCACUUCUGGAUAACCGCUUGAAAGGGUGGCUAAUGCGGGGUGUUCUGGCUGUGCCGCAUGGUGUGGCUGGGAAAGAUUCACUUUUGUGGUGUUUUGGUGGGGGAUGGGCUCGCGGCCUAUCAGCUUGUUGGUGGGGUGAUGGCCUGCCAAGGCUUUGACGGGUAGCCGGCCUGAGAGGGUGGGCGGUCACACUGGGACUGAGAUACGGCCCAGACUCCUGCGGGAGGCAGCAGUGGGGGGUAUUGCACAAUGGGCGGAAGCCUGAUGCAGCGACGUCGCGGGAGGGAUGGAGGCCUUCGGGUUGUGAACCUCUUUCGCCGGUGAAGAAGGUCCUGCUCUUUGUGGUGGGGUUGACGGUAGCCGGGUUAUGAAGCGCCGGCUAACUACGUG
RNAcentral lists this ribosomal RNA (500 nucleotides) under uncultured bacterium. RNAcentral's name for it is "partial 16S ribosomal RNA". It matches the Rfam family "Bacterial small subunit ribosomal RNA", at positions 28 to 507 of the family's 1533-position model. The record is from RNAcentral.